GAUGAACGCUGGCGGCGUGCCUAAUACAUGCAAGUCGAGCGAACGGACGAGAAGCUUGCUGUUCUGAUGUUAGCGGCGGACGGGUGAGUAACACGUGGAUAACCUACCUAUAAGACUGGGAUAACUUCGGGAAACCGGAGCUAAUAACGGUUAAUAUUUUGAACCGCAUUGUUCAUAAGUGUAAGACGGUCUUGCUGUUACUUAUAGAUGGAUCCGCGCUGCAUUAUCUAGUUGGUAAGGUAACGGCUUACCAAGGCAACGAUGCAUAGCCGACCUGAGAGGGUGAUCGACCACACUGGAACUGAGACACGGUCCAGACUCCUACGGGAGGCAGCAGUAGGGAAUCUUCCGCAAUGGGCGAAAGCCUGACGGAGCAACGCCGCGUGAGUGAUGAAGGUCUUCGGAUCGUAAAACUCUGUUAUUAGGGAAGAACAUAUGUGUAAGUAACUGUGCACAUCUUGACGGUACCUAAUCAGAAAGCCACGGCUAACUACGUG
RNAcentral lists this ribosomal RNA (497 nucleotides) under uncultured bacterium. RNAcentral's name for it is "partial 16S ribosomal RNA". It matches the Rfam family "Bacterial small subunit ribosomal RNA", at positions 28 to 507 of the family's 1533-position model. The record is from RNAcentral.